This 221-nucleotide long non-coding RNA is filed under the name Mytilus galloprovincialis (Mediterranean mussel). The record is from RNAcentral. Lineage: Eukaryota; Metazoa; Mollusca; Bivalvia; Mytilida; Mytilidae.
UUAGUGUUCGUACAUUGGUCCGUCGACUUCAUAGAGGCAACCGAAGAGGAAGUCGUGGUGUAUAGAGACCUGUACUUACAGGCAGGCACUCUACCGUCAGGUUUCAAUGGAUAUGAUACUAUCUAUGCUUGAACAUAAGAAGCUGACAAAACACUCAUUGGUCAGAUGGGAGUCAGUUUCUUUUACUGCCAGUAGACGCCAUAAUACGAAUUUCGCUUGGA